GAUCGUAAACCCAAAUUUUAUUUUACAAAAAAUGGGGUCGGUUGAAGAGGGCAGGACCCUACGAUGGGUGCAUCCCGUUCCCUCCCAGGUUGCCGGCGAGUGGAACUCGAGCGUGGAGUAUGACAAUAAUGAAGUAGACCGGCGCGGCUACGCAGCAUCCGCCCAAAUUUGAUGGGGCCAUCGUACACUGACCGCCAACCCCCAUCUGGACUUCGGCGGCGCGUGUAAUAAAGCCACAUCCAAAGUUUUGGCUUCGGAGGUAGCCGUACUACACUGACCAUGAACCCCAACCGGGACUUCGGCAGCGCGUGUAGGAAAGCCCACCAAAGUUAUGGCUUCUGCCACUCGCUUACAGUCACCCUGCCUCUCCUAAAAACGCGACUGAGGAGCCCACCGCCCCCCGGAUGGCCCGCGACGCCUUAGGGUGUCCGCACCUGUUCUAACCUCCCAAAAACACCACCUUUAUUGCCCCCACCUGGGUCACAAGCUCGCGCAACCGAGCUCGGCGACUGUAAUCCAAAGUAAACGGAUAUAUAAAGUGGCCCAUCUCAGACUUA
Molecule: long non-coding RNA, 557 nt
Filed under: Rosa chinensis
Lineage: Eukaryota; Viridiplantae; Streptophyta; Magnoliopsida; Rosales; Rosaceae
Description: sRNA RchiOBHm_Chr5g0022961
Source: RNAcentral